This 692-nucleotide ribosomal RNA is filed under the name Micrococcus luteus. RNAcentral's name for it is "bacterial SSU rRNA". It matches the Rfam family "Bacterial small subunit ribosomal RNA", at positions 1 to 711 of the family's 1533-position model. Lineage: Bacteria; Bacillati; Actinomycetota; Actinomycetes; Micrococcales; Micrococcaceae. The record is from RNAcentral.
UAGAGUUUUGAUCCUGGCUCAGGAUGAACGCUGGCGGCGUGCUUAACACAUGCAAGUCGAACGAUGAAGCCCAGCUUGCUGGGUGGAUUAGUGGCGAACGGGUGAGUAACACGUGAGUAACCUGCCCUUAACUCUGGGAUAAGCCUGGGAAACUGGGUCUAAUACCGGAUAGGAGCGUCCACCGCAUGGUGGGUGUUGGAAAGAUUUAUCGGUUUUGGAUGGACUCGCGGCCUAUCAGCUUGUUGGUGAGGUAAUGGCUCACCAAGGCGACGACGGGUAGCCGGCCUGAGAGGGUGACCGGCCACACUGGGACUGAGACACGGCCCAGACUCCUACGGGAGGCAGCAGUGGGGAAUAUUGCACAAUGGGCGCAAGCCUGAUGCAGCGACGCCGCGUGAGGGAUGACGGCCUUCGGGUUGUAAACCUCUUUCAGUAGGGAAGAAGCGAAAGUGACGGUACCUGCAGAAGAAGCACCGGCUAACUACGUGCCAGCAGCCGCGGUAAUACGUAGGGUGCGAGCGUUAUCCGGAAUUAUUGGGCGUAAAGAGCUCGUAGGCGGUUUGUCGCGUCUGUCGUGAAAGUCCGGGGCUUAACCCCGGAUCUGCGGUGGGUACGGGCAGACUAGAGUGCAGUAGGGGAGACUGGAAUUCCUGGUGUAGCGGUGGAAUGCGCAGAUAUCAGGAGGAACACGU